CCUGGCUCAGGACGAACGCUGGCGGCGUGCGUAACACAUGCAAGUCGAACGCAGAAGCCCAGCUUGCUGGGUGGAUGAGUGGCGAACGGGUGAGUAACACAUGAGUAACCUGACCCCUUCUUUGGGAUAACGCCCGGAAACGGGUGCUAAUACUGGAUAUUCACUGAUCUUCGCAUGGGGGUUGGUGGAGAGGUUUUUUCUGGUGGGAGAUGGGCUCGCGGCCUAUCAGCUUGUUGGUGGGGUGAUGGCCUACCAAGGCUUUGACGGGUAGCCGGCCUGAGAGGGUGACCGGUCACAUUGGGACUGAGACACGGCCCAAACUCCUACGG
This 329-nucleotide ribosomal RNA is filed under the name uncultured bacterium. RNAcentral's name for it is "bacterial SSU rRNA". It matches the Rfam family "Bacterial small subunit ribosomal RNA", at positions 18 to 344 of the family's 1533-position model. The record is from RNAcentral.